RNAcentral lists this ribosomal RNA (440 nucleotides) under uncultured bacterium. Its description in RNAcentral is "partial 16S ribosomal RNA". It matches the Rfam family "Bacterial small subunit ribosomal RNA", at positions 338 to 795 of the family's 1533-position model. The record is from RNAcentral.
CCUACGGGUGGCAGCAGUGGGGAAUAUUGCACAACGGGGGAAACCCUGAUGCAGCGACGCCGCGUGAGUGAAGAAGUAUUUCGGUAUGUAAAGCUCUAUCAGCAGGGAAGAAAAUGACGGUACCUGAUUAAGAAGCCCCGGCUAACUACGUGCAAGCAGCCGCGGGAAUACGUAGGGGGCAAGCUUUAUCCGGAGUUACUGGGUGUAAAGGGAGCGUAGACGGCAGCACAAGUCUGGAGUGAAAUGCCGGGGCUUAACCCCGGAACUGCUUUGGAAACUGUGCAGCUAGAGUGCAGGAGAGGUAAGUGGAAUUCCUAGUGUAGCGGUGAAAUGCGUAGAUAUUAGGAGGAACACCAGUGGCGAAGGCGGCUUACUGGACUGUAACUGACGUUGAGGCUCGAAAGCGUGGGGAGCAAACAGGAUUAGAUACCCGGGUAGUC